RNAcentral lists this ribosomal RNA (227 nucleotides) under uncultured bacterium. Its description in RNAcentral is "partial 16S ribosomal RNA". It matches the Rfam family "Bacterial small subunit ribosomal RNA", at positions 524 to 746 of the family's 1533-position model. The record is from RNAcentral.
UACGUAGGGCGCAAGCGUUGUCCGGAAUUAUUGGGCGUAAAGAGCUUGUAGGUGGUUUGUCGCGUCUGCUGUGAAAAUCCGGGGCUCAACCCCCGGACUUGCAGUGGGUACGGGCAGACUAGAGUGUGGUAGGGGAGACUGGAAUUCCUGGUGUAGCGGUGAAAUGCGCAGAUAUCAGGGAGGAACACCGGUGGCGAAAGGCGGGGUCUCUGGGCAAUAACUGACGC